GAUGAACGCUGGCGGCGUGCCUAAUACAUGCAAGUCGAGCGAACAGACGAGGAGCUUGCUCCUCUGACGUUAGCGGCGGACGGGUGAGUAACACGUGGAUAACCUACCUAUAAGACUGGGAUAACUUCGGGAAACCGGAGCUAAUACCGGAUAACAUGUUGAACCGCAUGGUUUAACAGUGAAAGACGGUCUUGCUGUCACUUGUAGAUGGAUCCGCGCCGCAUUAGCUAGUUGGUAAGGUAACGGCUUACCAAGGCAACGAUGCGUAGCCGACCCGAGGGGGUGAUCGGCCACACUGGAACUGAGACACGGUCCAGACUCCUACGGGAGGCAGCAGUAGGGAAUCUUACGCAAUGGGCGAAAGCCUGACGGAGCAACACCGCGUGAGUGAAGAAGGUCUUCGGAUCGUAAAACUCUGUUAUUAGGGGAGAACAAAUGUGUAAGUAACUAUGCACGUCUUGACGGUACCUAAUCAGAAAGCCACGGCUAACUACGUG
RNAcentral lists this ribosomal RNA (497 nucleotides) under uncultured bacterium. RNAcentral describes it as "partial 16S ribosomal RNA". It matches the Rfam family "Bacterial small subunit ribosomal RNA", at positions 28 to 507 of the family's 1533-position model. The record is from RNAcentral.